GCAGAGACCCACCCUCGUACCUUUUGCAUCAUGAUUCAGCCAGUAAAUGUAAGCAAAGAGCCCUCUAGUUUAUAACCCCGAAACUUGACGAGCUACUCCGAGACAGUCAUUUAUGGACUAACCCGUCUCUGUGGCAAAAGAGUGGGAAGAUCUCCGAGUAGAGGCAAUAAACCUACCGAGCCAAGUUAUAGCUGGUUGCCCGAUAAAUGAAUAAAAGUUCAGCUCCGCCAAGCCCAACUCAAAAAAGUCCCACUAAGAAAAGACAAAGAGCUUUACGCGGAAGUUAAUCAGAGGAGGUACAGCUCCCCUGAUCAAGGACACAACCUUAACAGGAGAUUAAAGAAUAUUUCGAUUAAGGCUAUAGGUCUUGGUGGGCCUAAAAGCAGCCAUCCAAUCAGAAAGCGUUAAAGCUCUGACCUCAGGAAAGCCCAUUAUUCUAUUUUUUUACCCUAUAUCCCUUUUACUCAUUGGGCCCUCCCAUGCCCCCAUAGGAGAGAUUAUGCUGAAACAAGUAACAAGAAGAACGAACUUCUCCCUGCACAAGUGUAAGUCGAAUUGGACUAGCCAUCGAUGCUUAACGAACCCAAUAAAAGAGGGCCGUAUAUCACCGCCAUCUUUAGCCAAGAAAACUAUAUAUACUCUUAUCGUUACCCCCACACAGGAGUGCUCAUUUAGGGAAAGACUUAAAGAAAAAAAAGGAACUCGGCAAACUCUAACCCCGCCUGUUUACCAAAAACAUCGCCUCUUGCAUUAAAAGAAUAAGAGGUCCCACCU
Molecule: ribosomal RNA, 774 nt
Filed under: Stolephorus sp. 1 DDB-2012
Lineage: Eukaryota; Metazoa; Chordata; Actinopteri; Clupeiformes; Engraulidae
Description: partial 16S ribosomal RNA
Rfam family: Bacterial large subunit ribosomal RNA
Source: RNAcentral